CGCACAUUGCGCCCCUUGGUAUUCCUCGGGGCACGCCUGUUCGAGCGUCAUUACACCCCUCCAGCCUCGCUGGGUGUUGAGCGCCGGCGCCUCCGCGCGCCCGCUCUAAUGUCGUCGGCUGCGUCGUUCGAUCGCUCCGCGUUGUGGUUUACAAACUCGCGACGGUGACCGAUGGCGCACGCCGGGCAACCACUUUUCCACCAGGUUGACCUCGGAUCAGGCGGGGAUACCCGCUGAACUUAA
RNAcentral lists this unclassified non-coding RNA (243 nucleotides) under Capnodiales sp. RNAcentral describes it as "partial contains 5.8S ribosomal RNA, internal transcribed spacer 2, and large subunit ribosomal RNA". The record is from RNAcentral. Lineage: Eukaryota; Fungi; Ascomycota; Dothideomycetes; Capnodiales.